This 23-nucleotide microRNA is filed under the name Cordylochernes scorpioides. Lineage: Eukaryota; Metazoa; Arthropoda; Arachnida; Pseudoscorpiones; Chernetidae. The record is from RNAcentral.
ACUGACGGACUGGGACUUCUGUG